Molecule: ribosomal RNA, 502 nt
Filed under: uncultured bacterium
Lineage: Bacteria
Description: partial 16S ribosomal RNA
Rfam family: Bacterial small subunit ribosomal RNA
Source: RNAcentral
GACGAACGCUGGCGGCGUGCUUAACACAUGCAAGUCGAACGGUGAAGGGGUCUGCUUUUGUGGGCCCUGGAUGAGUGGCGAACGGGUGAGUAACACGUGAGUAACCUGCCCCCUUCUUCUGGAUAACCGCAUGAAAGUGUGGCUAAUACGGGAUAUUCUGGGUCUGUCGCAUGAUGGGUCUGGGAAAGAUUGCGCCUUUGGGUGUUUUUGGUGGGGGAUGGGCUCGCGGCCUAUCAGCUUGUUGGUGGGGUGAUGGCCUACCAAGGCGGUGACGGGUAGCCGGCGUGAGAGGGUGGACGGUCACACUGGGACUGAGACACGGCCCAGAAUCCUACGGGAGGCAGCAGUGGGGAAUAUUGCACAAUGGGCGCAAGCCUGAUGCAGCGACGCCGCGUGAGGGAUGGAGGCCUUCGGGUUGUAAACCUCUUUCGCCAGUGAAGCAGGCCUGCUGCUUGUGGGUGGGUUGACGGUAGCUGGAUAAGAAGCGCCGGCUAACUACGUG